Molecule: ribosomal RNA, 493 nt
Filed under: uncultured Chloroflexota bacterium
Lineage: Bacteria; Bacillati; Chloroflexota
Description: bacterial SSU rRNA
Rfam family: Bacterial small subunit ribosomal RNA
Source: RNAcentral
CAAGGAAUUUUCGGCAAUGGGCGCAAGCCUGACCGAGCAACGCCGCGUGGAGGAUGACGGCUUUCGGGUUGUAAACUCCUUUUCGGUGGGACGAAUUUUGACGGUACCACCUGAAUCAGGCCCGGCUAACUACGUGCCAGCAGCCGCGGUAAUACGUAGGGGUCGAGCGUUGUCCGGAUUUAUUGGGCGUAAAGGGUGGGCAGGUGGUCGGUGAUGUGCCGUGUGAAAGCGCCGUAGUUAUGACGGCGAGGUCGCGGUAGACACAUCGUCUUGAGGCAGUGAGGGGGCAGUGGAAUUCCCGGUGUAGUGGUGAAAUGCGUAGAUAUCGGGAGGAACACCAGUGGCGCAAGCGGCUGCCUGGCACUGACCUGACACUGAGCCACGACGGCGUGGGGAGCAAACGGGAUUAGAUACCCCGGUAGUCCACGCAGUAAACGAUGCAUACCCGGUGUGUGGUGACGGUUUAACCCGUCGCUGCGUGCCUCAGCUUACG